Molecule: ribosomal RNA, 492 nt
Filed under: uncultured bacterium
Lineage: Bacteria
Description: partial 16S ribosomal RNA
Rfam family: Bacterial small subunit ribosomal RNA
Source: RNAcentral
AGUGAACGCUGGCGGUAGGCCUAACACAUGCCAGUCGAACGGCAGCACAGUAAGAGCUUGCUCUUACGGGUGGCGAGUGGCGGGCGGGUGAGGAAUACAUCGGAAUCUACUUUUUCGUGGGGGAUAACGUAGGGAAACUUACGCUAAUACCGCAUACGACCUACGGGUGAAAGCAGGGGAACUUCGGACCUUGCGCGAUUGAAUGAGCCGAUGUCGGAUUAGCUAGUUGGCGGGGUAAAGGCCCACCAAGGCGACGAUCCGUAGCUGGUCUGAGAGGAUGAUCAGCCACACUGGAACUGAGACACGGUCCAGACUCCUACGGGAGGCAGCAGUGGGGAAUAUUGGACAAUGGGCGCAAGCCUGAUCCAGCCAUACCGCGUGGGUGAAGAAGGCCUUCGGGUUGUAAAGCCCUUUUGUUGGGAAAGAAAAGCAGCAGGUUAAUACCCCGCUGUUCUGACGGUACCCAAAGAAUAAGCACCGGCUAACUUCGUG